CUGAACAGUAUUAGUCAAAUCAUGGAAGAGUUAUGUGAGGAAGUUCUCUUACUGAAGUAUCUUCCCUUGUAAGGGAUGACAGUCAUUAGUGAAAUUCAGAAUCCUCUGGUAUUAUAAAUAAGGUGUACAUCCUCUCCUUCCCCUGAUCCCGCAGUCCCACAGCAACAGCUGAGGUUCUUUCAUGCACCUCAGCUGGGACUGAAAUGAGUGGUGCUCACAUUCAGUAGGUUGGCCAGGAUGACAAGAGCUCAAGGAUGUGUCUGGGGAGUAUAUCUUCAGGGUCUGCUGAGUGCUGUAGUGAUUGGCAGGGCUGUGGAAGAGUCCCUGAAACCUGCACAGUAGUAGCACAGGAGGAGAGGGUCUCACAGGUAAACACAGGGCCUGCUGCCAACAUGGAGGACAAGCCUGACUAUUAAAGUUUCAUCAUGUUCCUAACAUUUCCAAGGCCAAACAAGCACUGGAAAAUAUGUUAGAAAGACCUGCAUUUUGAUAGCUCCAGCAUGCUUUCCAUGAAAUACACUUGAAGACGCUCUGUAGCUAAUUGGAGUUAGUCUGCAUGCCAAGAGAAGUUUUGAUGAGCUUCUAUAACAUUCACAGAAACAGGACUUGGGAGACUUUCAUUUUCCUGCACUAUUACUGCUGUGGAAGUAGAGUGUGACCACUAUGCUAUCACAUAGCAAGACAGCCAGAGUUUUCCCUGGAAGAGGUGAAUAAUGGUUGGAGGAGCAAACAUUGCCCCAGCAGUUGAUUGCCUCCUCUCAGCCCAGCACCCAGACCCUAUUGCUUUACACAGGGAUGGAGAGAGCCAGAAGCUCCAAAGGGGAGGUACUCUCAGCCUGUUCUACCUAGUAAUAGAGAAAAACAGAGAUGUAUACAAAACAUCUAGUUUUCUGAUGCCUAUGGAACAAUAUUUGAACAUCUUGGACCUUCUUCGGGCAACCAAGGAUGGAAGAAGUCUAUAUUAAUACUUGGGAGGGAGGAUCACACAGAGUAGAGAACAGCGGUGUACCAUAACCACUACUGAAAUAACUAUAGUCUGAGAAACCGUGAGCCCAAGAAAAAUGGAAGGGAUUCAGGUUUGAAUUAUGAAGGAUUUACCCUCCAAGGGCUAUGUCAAUGUUCAUGUUGGUUUUCAUUUUAGUCAUAAUGGGUUUCCAGUUUCUGCUGUAAUUCAGUAUCACAAUUAGAUGGAUGCUUGUUGAAUGCUGCUGGUCACUGGUUAUGUUUGAAUGUUAUACAAAUGUAGUCAGUUAAGUACCUGUUACUACUCUUUCUGUUUGUAUGCCAAAACCAUAGCUUGAUCUGUUAGGAGUCUACAAACAUAAAUAUUAAAUUUUAAGGUUUUUGCUUCGAAGUAUAGAAUUUUUAAAGAUGAAAAUGCAUUUUCUCUUGAAUCUUGGUCAUUCAGUUUCAAAUCUCCCAAGCAUGAGGCAGUUUUCUGGGGAAGAACUAAUUUUUGUUAUUAAUGAAAUAAAGAUUUCCUCUGUUAAAUUUAAUCUAUGAAA
This 1505-nucleotide long non-coding RNA is filed under the name Anser brachyrhynchus (Pink-footed goose). RNAcentral's name for it is "lncRNA (ENSABRG00000016522.1)". Lineage: Eukaryota; Metazoa; Chordata; Aves; Anseriformes; Anatidae. The record is from RNAcentral.